CAGGCUUCGUCUCCGUCCGUUUGCCUCUCCCACGCGCGUCCGUCCUAUCUGUUUAGGACAAGAAGCUGUAUGUUCCCACGCCGCCCCCAAUUAGAACCCGCUGCUCCCUAUCCUGACAUCUUCCCCCUCCCCAUUUUCCCCCGCUCUCUUCACCGCUCUGUCUCCCUCUCUCUCUCGGCGAUUUUGCUUCGGCGGCCUGGUGGGGGGCUCGGCGGUGCUGGUCGACGGAGAAGAGAGGCGCGGCGCGGGGUAGGUGGAGCGUGGUCAAAGGAGGCGGGAGAUUGACGAGCUCACCGUUGAUUCCUCGCCGCGGCCUCGCGCAUCCACCCACGAGCUUCAUAGGGUGUCGCCGGCGGUAGGCUGGGGCCGGUCGUCUGCAUGUCACAAGGCGCGAUGGUGGGGGCUGCGUGGAUCUAUUCCGGGUAUUGAUUCGUGCACAGCAGGCGUAUCGUGGAAGGCCGGGGCGCAUCUAGCUCCGCGGGCUUAACGAGCAUAGCGAUUCCUCCCGAUUCCACGGGUUGCUGAUUUCUGAAGAAUGGAUUUGUAUUGUACAUAAGAGACAAGAAACCUAAUGGAGGCAUACCAUGCACAUUUUGUACAGCUAGCUUUGUGAUUUUGAACCUAAGACAAGACUAAUUAAUGCUGGGUGAACAUAUGUUGGGCCUAACAUAUGGAAAUCUUCUACUUGUGUGAAUCAGAUGCUGGGGCAUUUUUUGUGGGGAUAUAGAUUGAGUGCUCUUGGAAGUUGGAACUACUGCUUGUAUGCAUAUAUGUACUACCUAGUCCUAUAUAAUACUGCCAUCUGGACUACCAGUGGUUUUUGCUUUUGGAACUACCAUCUGUGAUUUGUUCUGAAUGAUGAUAGGCCCUAGAUUUGUUUUA
This is a long non-coding RNA of Brachypodium distachyon (stiff brome), 882 nucleotides long. RefSeq lists it as uncharacterized. NCBI's taxonomy places the organism in Eukaryota, Viridiplantae, Streptophyta, Magnoliopsida, Poales, Poaceae. The record is from RefSeq and is a predicted model, not a curated record. The transcript has 2 exons.